This 464-nucleotide long non-coding RNA is filed under the name Lathyrus oleraceus (garden pea). Its description in RNAcentral is "Pisum sativum (pea) long non-coding RNA (PSAT_LNC021491)". Lineage: Eukaryota; Viridiplantae; Streptophyta; Magnoliopsida; Fabales; Fabaceae. The record is from RNAcentral.
UUGAAAAUUAAGAUAACUGUAACUUAUAUUUCUUAAUUUGUUUGUUCAUAUUAGCUAUGAUUGGUGAAUUAAUCUGUGAACUUUUCCUUCUCUUAGGUUAUAUAUAUAUGCAGCUUUUUUUGCUUUCGUAGAAAAAUUUAUAAGCUUUGAAGUUCCCUGUUAACGAGUUUGUAAUCCUAACUCUUCAAUUUACAGGAACAUGCAGGGCAUCGGUCUUCAGGAAAGAAUUCCAAGGGACACGCACGAUGGAAUGGCAAGGCAUCUUUAAGAAAGACUCAACCUUCAUAUAUGAAUAUGAGCUCUGACACUCUUUGGGCAGAGAUUAAAGAAUUCGCAAUGGUUGAAUUCCAAGGGACACGCACGAUGGAAUGGCAAGGCAUCUUUAAGAAAGACUCAACCUUCAUAUAUGAAUAUGAGCUCUGACACUCUUUGGGCAGAGAUUAAAGAAUUCGCAAUGGUCAAAU